UCCGAAUUGGUGUAGUGGCUAACAUUUGACGCUCUCACUUUCUCCACAUCCGUGCGAGGCAACUGGUCCGUCAAGCCCGGGGUUCGAUUCCCCGAUUCGGAG
Molecule: non-coding RNA, 102 nt
Organism: Microdochium trichocladiopsis
Lineage: Eukaryota; Fungi; Ascomycota; Sordariomycetes; Xylariales; Microdochiaceae
Source: the annotation of a RefSeq genome assembly